RNAcentral lists this ribosomal RNA (441 nucleotides) under uncultured bacterium. RNAcentral's name for it is "partial 16S ribosomal RNA". It matches the Rfam family "Bacterial small subunit ribosomal RNA", at positions 338 to 795 of the family's 1533-position model. The record is from RNAcentral.
CCUACGGGAGGCAGCAGUGGGGAAUAUUGGGCAAUGGAGGAAACUCUGACCCAGCAACGCCGCGUGAAGGAUGAAGGUUUUCGGAUUGUAAACUUCUGUCGCGAGGGAUGAAGAAUGACGGUACCUCGUACGAAAGCCCCGGCAAACUACGUGCCCGCAGCCGCGGUAAUACGUAGGGGGCGAGCGUUGUCCGGAAUGACUGGGCGUAAAGGGAGUGUAGGCGGCAUAUUAAGUUAUGUGUGAAAGGCCGCGGCUCAACCGCGGAAUUGCACAGAAAACUGGUAAGCUUGAGUGCAGGAGAGGUAAGUGGAAUUCCCGGUGUAGCGGUGGAAUGCGUAGAUAUCGGGAGGAACACCAGAGGCGAAGGCGACUUACUGGACUGUAACUGACGCUGAGGCUCGAAAGCGUGGGGAGCAAACAGGAUUAGAUACCCCAGUAGUC